CUGGCUCAGGAUGAACGCUGGCGGUAUGCUUAACACAUGCAAGUCGAACGAAAUCUUCGGAUUUAGUGGCGGACGGGUGAGUAACGCGUGAGAAUCUGCCAUCAGGUCUGGGACAACCACUGGAAACGGUGGCUAAUACUGGAUGUGCCGAAAGGUGAAAGGUUAACUGCCUGUUGAUGAGCUCGCGUCUGAUUAGCUAGUAGGUGUGGUAAAGGCGCACCUAGGCGACGAUCAGUAGCUGGUCUGAGAGGACGAUCAGCCACACUGGGACUGAGACACGGCCCAGACUCCUACGGGAGGCAGCAGUGGGGAAUUUUCCGCAAUGGGCGAAAGCCUGACGGAGCAAUACCGCGUGAGGGAGGAAGGCUCUUGGGUCGUAAACCUCUUUUCUCAGGGAAGAACAAAAUGACGGUACCUGAGGAAUAAGCAUCGGCUAACUCCGUGCCAGCAGCCGCGGUAAUACGGAGGAUGCAAGCGUUAUCCGGAAUGAUUGGGCGUAAAGCGUCCGCAGGUGGCGAUGUAAGUCUGCUGUUAAAGAGUCUAGCUCAACUAGAUAAGAGCAGUGGAAACUACAUAGCUAGAGUACGUUCGGGGCAGAGGGAAUUCCUGGUGUAGCGGUGAAAUGCGUAGAGAUCAGGAAGAACACCAGUGGCGAAGGCGCUCUGCUAGGCCGUAACUGACACUGAGGGACGAAAGCUAGGGGAGCGAAUGGGAUUAGAUACCCCAGUAGUCCUAGCCGUAAACGAUGAU
RNAcentral lists this ribosomal RNA (750 nucleotides) under cyanobacterium cCLA-1. RNAcentral's name for it is "bacterial SSU rRNA". It matches the Rfam family "Bacterial small subunit ribosomal RNA", at positions 19 to 813 of the family's 1533-position model. The record is from RNAcentral. Lineage: Bacteria; Bacillati; Cyanobacteriota.